This 404-nucleotide ribosomal RNA is filed under the name bacterium. RNAcentral's name for it is "partial 16S ribosomal RNA". It matches the Rfam family "Bacterial small subunit ribosomal RNA", at positions 355 to 776 of the family's 1533-position model. RNAcentral also lists the same sequence under 2 other names. The record is from RNAcentral.
UGGGGAAUAUUGGACAAUGGGCGAAAGCCUGAUCCAGCAAUGCCGCGUGAGUGAUGAAGGCCUUAGGGUUGUAAAGCUCUUUUACCCGGGAUGAUAAUGACAGUACCGGGAGAAUAAGCCCCGGCUAACUCCGUGCCAGCAGCCGCGGUAAUACGGAGGGGGCUAGCGUUGUUCGGAAUUACUGGGCGUAAAGCGCACGUAGGCGGCUUUGCAAGUUAGAGGUGAAAGCCCGGGGCUCAACUCCGGAAUUGCCUUUAAAACUGCAUCGCUAGAAUUGUGGAGAGGUAAGUGGAAUUCCGAGUGUAGAGGUGAAAUUCGUAGAUAUUCGGAAGAACACCAGUGGCGAAGGCGACUUACUGGACACAUAUUGACGCUGAGGUGCGAAAGCGUGGGGAGCAAACAGG